UGAGCAGCCCAUGCGGUCGCGGGCUCUGCCGGAAGGCAGGGCGUGAGGAAAGUCCGGGCUCCGCAGGGCAAGGAUGACAGCUAACGGCUGCCGGGGGUGACCCCAGGGAAAGUGCAACAGAAAACAACCGCCCGCAAGGGCAAGGGUGAAAAGGCGAGGUAAGAGCUCACCGGGAU
Molecule: RNase P RNA, 176 nt
Filed under: Bacillota bacterium
Lineage: Bacteria; Bacillati; Bacillota
Description: Firmicutes bacterium (gut metagenome) partial RNase P RNA component class A
Rfam family: Bacterial RNase P class A
About the family: Ribonuclease P (RNase P) is a ubiquitous endoribonuclease, found in archaea, bacteria and eukarya as well as chloroplasts and mitochondria.
Source: RNAcentral